GACGAACGCUGGCGGCGUGCUUAACACAUGCAAGUCGAACGGAAAGGCCCUGCUUUUGUGGGGUGCUCGAGUGGCGAACGGGUGAGUAACACGUGAGUAACCUGCCCUUGACUUUGGGAUAACUUCAGGAAACUGGGGCUAAUACCGGAUAGGAGCUCCUGCUGCAUGGUGGGGGUUGGAAAGUUUCGGCGGUUGGGGAUGGACUCGCGGCUUAUCAGCUUGUUGGUGGGGUAGUGGCUUACCAAGGCUUUGACGGGUAGCCGGCCUGAGAGGGUGACCGGCCACAUUGGGACUGGGAUACGGCCCAGACUCCUACGGGAGGCAGGAGUGGGGAAUAUGGCACAAUGGGCGGAAGCCUGAUGCAGCAACGCCGCGUGCGGGAGGACGGCCUUCGGGUUGUAAACCGCUUUCGCCUGUGACGAAGCGUGAGUGACGGUAAUGGGUAAAGAAGCACCGGCUAACUACGU
Molecule: ribosomal RNA, 467 nt
Filed under: uncultured bacterium
Lineage: Bacteria
Description: partial 16S ribosomal RNA
Rfam family: Bacterial small subunit ribosomal RNA
Source: RNAcentral